AUCGCUUGUGCCUCCCCUCAUGUGUUCACACUAAUCUUUCGCCUUUUACUAAAGAUAACCGUUGAGAGGGGCACUUCAGUGAGCCUUAAGGCCAAUUUUUAAAGGUCCUGCCUGUCUGGGCGGGG
Small nuclear RNA from Rhipicephalus sanguineus (brown dog tick), 125 nucleotides. RefSeq annotates it as U5 spliceosomal RNA. The transcript has a single exon. Lineage: Eukaryota; Metazoa; Arthropoda; Arachnida; Ixodida; Ixodidae. The record is from RefSeq and is a predicted model, not a curated record.